AAUGGAGGUCGUGGCGUGAGGGGCGCCGAGCGAGGGGAGGCGCGGGCCACGGGAGUUCCGGGAGUUCCGGCGUUGCCCGGCAGUCCGCAGUCCUCGGCGGGAAGGCUGUCCCGGCGCCUCAGGCAGCUCUGCGUGGGCCGGGGUGACUUCCUCGCGAUCCCCUGCGCGAGGUGAAGGGCAGGGACCUUUGCCGCGCCUUCCACGCGCCGUGCCCCACCGGCGAGUGGCUCCAUCUUCCUCAGACUUAUCGCUCGCGGACAGGCGCCGUGGGUCUCCCGGGCCUCCGUACCGUCCUCCUUCCCAGCGGCUCCGGGAAGCGGUUCCCUGUCUUCGGACGCAUUUCACCCGCGCGGGGAGAGCUUCCCGGGAAGGUUCCACGGCGGCCGAGGGUUUCCGCGCCCGGGACGCGUUUCGGCUGAGGCCGUGGGUCCAGUCCACGGGUUCUGCCCGCACGGUCCAAUGGCCGGGGAGGCGGAGGACUUGCACCUUCGAGAUCCCCUGUGUUUACCCAGCUGGAGGAUGAUGAACAGUCGUGGGUGCCCAGCUGGGUGGAUGUGACUCCAGUCAGCAGAGCAGAAGCCAGGAGAGGUUUUGGUCUUGAUGGUUUGUGUAGAGUGGAGGAUGAGAGAGCCCAUCCUGAGCAUCUAAAGAGCUACAGAGUCAUCCAGCACCAGGACACUCAUAGUGAGGGGAAACCAAGAAGGCACACUGAGCAUGGGGCAGCUUUCCCACCUGGUUCCAGUUGUGGGCAACAGCAAGAAGUCCAUGUGGCAGAGAAGCUGUUCAAAUGCAGUGACUGUGGGAAGGUGUUCUUAAAGGCCUUUGCCCUCCUUGACCAUCUGAUAACGCAUUCUGAAGAGAGACCCUUCAGAUGCCCAACAGGCAGAAGUGCUUUCAAGAAGUCAGCUCAUAUUAACCCCCGAAAAAUUCACACUGGAGAAACAGCCCAUGUGUGUAAUGAAUGUGGGAAGGCCUUCAGUUACCCGUCUAAGCUGAGGAAACACCAGAAGGUUCACACAGGCAUAAAACCUUUUAAGUGUAGUGACUGUGGUAAAACCUUCAACCGCAAAGACGCACUUGUUCUACACCAGAGGAUUCACACUGGAGAAAGGCCUUACGAGUGCAGCAAAUGUGGUAAAACCUUCAGUGUUCUGUCUACCCUCAUUCGGCACCGGAAAGUGCACAUUGGAGAAAGGCCCUAUGAGUGUACAGAAUGUGGGAAGUUCUUUAAAUACAAUAAUAGCUUCAUUCUUCACCAGAGAGUUCACACUGGAGAAAGGCCUUUUGAAUGCAAGCAAUGUGGGAAAGGCUACGUGACCCGUUCAGGCCUCUAUCAGCACUGGAAAGUCCACACUGGGGAACGGCCCUAUGAAUGUAGCCUGUGUGGGAAAACCUUCACUACCAGAUCCUACCGCAAUCGGCACCAGCAGUUCCACACUGAAGAGAGGUCUUAUGAAUGUACAGAGUGUGGGAAGGCCUUCAAACAUAGUUCCACCCUCCUUCAGCACAAGAAAGUCCAUACUCCAGAAAGGCGUCAGGAGGACAGGGCACAUGGGAAGGUCGUUAGCUGCUAGCACCGUGUUCAUCAGGAAAGGUCUUAUUCCAGAAAGGAGGUUAAGGAGAGUGGCCGUGAGAGUGCCAUCCGAAAGAAGCUAAACCUUGCACAUCCCAACACCCACCCCAGGGAGAGUUCCCGUGUGUGCCUGGUGUGUGGGACGCUUUCGGGAGCCACAUUGCACUCUGACUUGCCUGGGGCUGUUGGCAGUGUCACAUCACUGAGUUUAUCCACCGCCAUCCACCUCUAUCCACCCCAUAAGGUCCCUACAGCAAGUGGGACAGCAGACCUUGUGCUCCUUGCUCUAAACAGUAGAGAAUCGUUAAUAGUGGAGCCCAAAACAGGCCUCAUUCCCUACCCUUGACUGGUUUAGCUGUGGACAUGACCCACCUCUGGCCGGAGGAGCUGAGCUGGUAUCUGCUGGGGGCUUCCUGGGAAGGUUUACCAUUUUCAUGGAAAUGGUUGACAUUACACAUGGUAUUUGUCAUGCCCUAGCAUGGACUGUCUCAUACUGCUCUGGACUAUGUGGUAAUAAAGGCUUUAUUGUUUAAGCCGCUU
RNAcentral lists this long non-coding RNA (2113 nucleotides) under Homo sapiens (human). Its description in RNAcentral is "HSALNT0263109". Lineage: Eukaryota; Metazoa; Chordata; Mammalia; Primates; Hominidae. The record is from RNAcentral.